Molecule: long non-coding RNA, 200 nt
Filed under: Elaeis guineensis (African oil palm)
Lineage: Eukaryota; Viridiplantae; Streptophyta; Magnoliopsida; Arecales; Arecaceae
Description: long non-coding RNA (EGUI_LNC053806)
Source: RNAcentral
CAUAUAAAUUAGAUAUUUUACUUUUCAUACAACUUUGUAUCACAUACAUCAAACCUAAAGUUUCAAGAUCUAAAAUUUUAUAAAAAAAUAAGUUCUUCCUUUCAUGUUCUUCUUCAUGGGAUUUAAUCACAUGGCACCUCUACAUACCAUAAGAGUACCCCAUCGAAUGGAAAGAGGGGGCAUUUAAAUCUUUUUUGCUA